Molecule: transfer RNA, 70 nt
Filed under: Camelus bactrianus (Bactrian camel)
Lineage: Eukaryota; Metazoa; Chordata; Mammalia; Artiodactyla; Camelidae
Also listed under: 2 other names
Rfam family: tRNA
About the family: Transfer RNA (tRNA) molecules are approximately 80 nucleotides in length. Their secondary structure includes four short double-helical elements and three loops (D, anti-codon, and T loops).
Source: Rfam by way of RNAcentral
GGGGGUAGCUCAGUGGUAGAGUGCCUGCCUAGCAUGCACAAGAUCCUGGGUUCAAUCCCUAGUACCUCCA